RNAcentral lists this long non-coding RNA (1438 nucleotides) under Malus domestica (apple). RNAcentral's name for it is "long non-coding RNA (MDOM_LNC008083)". Lineage: Eukaryota; Viridiplantae; Streptophyta; Magnoliopsida; Rosales; Rosaceae. The record is from RNAcentral.
ACACAACUUAUAAUUUCUGUAAAAUGAGACUCAUGCCUAGCAAUAAACAAGGAUUGAAAAUAUUGAACUGCAAUACCUUGAAUACCCAUAAGAUCUGUACACCAUAAUCUAUCCUCCCCUUCUAACCCUCGGUUAUAAUUCCUCCACGUCCGUUUCAUCGUUUGAGCAUGAAAAAAUCUUGUAUUCUUAUCCUCUUCUUAGACCUCAUAAUUUCAAAAAAUUGUGAUUAUUUCUUUUCUUUUUUUUUUUUUUUUUUUUUUUUGGGAGUUUUAACGAAAAACUCACGGUAUUGUUCACUUUAACGAAAAACUACAUUUUUACACUAAAAAAUCAAACAUGGUAUUAUUCAUUUUAUCAUUUAUUUUGUCCUAUCAUUAAAACUCAAAGUUUUCAAACCCUUUUCGUUAGUUUUACUUUUUUUUUUUUUGUAGAACUGUGAUUAUUUAACUUUUGUUUUGUACUUUCUUCGUUGAAUUAAAAUCAGAAAGUCUAUCCCCAUUUUUUCUUUUGGACCUUGAGUUUAGGAUAACAGCACUCGAAUAAUCGAUCCCAUUUACAUUUACAUUUUUAAUACAGCUGUACAGACGUCAAAAUACUCUAAUAAAACAGAGGCAUUUACUAGUCACCUUGUCCAUUUUUUUGGGCUAGACCAAUUAAAACAUGCUUUGAACUUUUGUUUUGCUUGAAGAUAAUUAAAAAUACCGAAAAUAUGACUUUGGCCCUUAAAACUUAAUUUUCUCUACAUAAAACCCGACAUAAGUUUUUUUCUUGAAUAAAACCCAUUGACUAAAUUCCACAUCAGCAAAUUAAUUAAUUAUGUUUGAUUUCACACAUUAAAAAAAAUUUGGAUGCCUAAAAUACCCCUAUUUGAUUUUUUUUUUUUAUAAACCCUAUUUGAAUAUUUGAUGUACAUAAUUAAUGCCAUGCGGAUGGAUGGUAAGGGAGAAUCAUACACACACACACACACACACAUAUAAAUGCUUGAUAUAUGUAAAAUUCAUGCAAAAUAAUUUACCUUUGUUUGUACCAUAUUUAGAGCCUCUGUAUUUAGACCUCGUAUAAAUACUUGGGGGACUCAAAUGUAAUUAUGUAAUAAAUGAAGGGGCAAAUAUGUAAUAAGUGAGGAGCCCUUAUUCUAUAAAAGGACUCCUCACUCUCCUCAUUAGAGGUCAAUGGCUAGGCCAUGGGAAGAGAGAAAAUAGGCUAAAGAGCACACUGCCUCUAGCCUUCUUGUAUAUUCACCAUUCAUAGUGAAACAAUAUCAACAUCAGUGUGGACGUAGCCCAAACAUUAGGCUAAACCACGAUACAUCUUGUGUUCUUUACUUUCUUGCAGAUUCACGGUCGAAUUUACGUUGUUCCAAGACCCUCCGGUUUUGUGCAUCAACAUUUGGCGCCGUCUGUGGGAAACAACAUGAAAAGCUGUGUCGGCUCUCUUU